GCGGGACUUGUAUAUAAAUUUUGUUUUUAUUGAAUUAGUAUUAAGCUAAGAGGAAUACGACAACGGGUGGGCGUCAUCCGUGGAUUGUUAUGAGGCUUUUGGAUCGUUCUCAACCCUGUUUCCGGCGCCUUGCACCAAUCAAUAUAAAGACCUUUAGCUGAUGAGAAAGGUACACCAGAAUAUGAAUACCGAUAAGCGUCGUUCCUGUUUAAAGCUUCUUCUCCAUCAAUGGGCUGCAAAAAAAUCAGUAACUGGUGGGUUACGCAAGUGAAAACAAUUAGAAAACUAAAAAGAUAAGAACCUCUUCUCCCAACUAUAGGCUGGCGCUGAAAAGGAGAUGAAUGCUGCGAUCAUCUAACUGGGACUUACUAAAUAGAUAAGAAGAUAUCAUCUGUACGACACUAGUGUCUCUGUCUGGAAAUCUACAGACACUCUAUCUCUCUCUGUAUGAACAAGAUCCUUAUGAUAAACUCAAUCCCACUUUGAUUUAUGAAAUAGAAAGAUCCAAACAACGAUUACGUUUACAAACAAAAAAAAUAAUAGAUGAUGCAGAUAAUUCAUUGUCGCCCAGAUGAUCAAAAGAAGAGAGAAGCUUCAACGCCGAAGCCUCUGAUCGAGAUAGCGUCUUUGUUUCCCAUGCCACGCCUGCCUUAGUCAACAAAAGCCUUGAACUUACUCUGUAUCAAUACCCGCCCCUUUCAGAUGCAGCUUUUCCUCAAAGCUGGAGAGUUGGCGUUCGUGGUGGCAGCUCAUGUGUCAUGAUCAACGAUGAAGAAAACCGCUGAACCACUCUUCGUAACUUAUCACAAGACCCAUAUAGGAGGAAUGUAGAAUAUGUAACAUUCAGUUUUUGUUUUUCAAAGAAACCACAAAAUUUAUUUAAAGCUUAGGGAUUAAUAAGCAGAAAGCUUAUGAUCUGUAAUUGACAUUUCGUUCAGAAGCUAAAUGUUUAUCAUUGAUACUCAGUUUUUUUUAGUCAA
This is a long non-coding RNA of Brassica rapa (field mustard), 980 nucleotides long. RefSeq lists it as uncharacterized. NCBI's taxonomy places the organism in Eukaryota, Viridiplantae, Streptophyta, Magnoliopsida, Brassicales, Brassicaceae. The record is from RefSeq and is a predicted model, not a curated record.